RNAcentral lists this ribosomal RNA (458 nucleotides) under uncultured archaeon. Its description in RNAcentral is "bacterial SSU rRNA". It matches the Rfam family "Archaeal small subunit ribosomal RNA", at positions 880 to 1336 of the family's 1478-position model. The record is from RNAcentral.
CACAAGGGGUGAAGCCUGCGGUUCAAUUGGAGUCAACGCCGGAAAUCUUACCGGGGGCGACAGCAGAGUGAAGGUCAAGCUGAAGACUUUACCAGACAAGCUGAGAGGAGGUGCAUGGCGGUCGCCAGCUCGUGCCGUGAGGUGUCCUGUUAAGUCAGGUAACGAGCGAGAUCCCUAUCUCUAGUUGCUACUGCUGCUCUCAGGAGUAGUAGAGCUAAUUAGAGGGACCGCCGCCGCUGAGGCGGAGGAAGGAGGGGGCUACGGCAGGUCAGUAUGCCCCGAAACCCUCGGGCCACACGCGGGCUGCAAUGGUAAGGACAAUGGGUUCCUAUUCCGAAAGGAGGAGGCAAUCCCCAAACCUUACCCCAGUUAUGAUUGAGGGCUGAAACUCGCCCUCAUGAAUAUGGAAUCCCUAGUAACCGCGUGUCAUCAUCGCGCGGUGAAUACGUCCCUGCUCC